UACGGGGGGAGCGAGCGUUGUUCGGAAUUAUUGGGCGUAAAGCGCGUGUAGGCGGUUUGGUAAGUCAGAUGUGAAAGCCCUGGGCUCAACCGAGGAAGUGCAUUUGAAACUACCAUUCUUGAGUAUGGGAGAGGAGAGUGGAAUUCCCAGUGUAGAGGUGAAAUUCGUAGAUAUUGGGAGGAACACCCGUGGCGAAGGCGACUCUCUGGACCAAUACUGACGCUAAGACGAGAAAGCGUGGGGAGCAAACAGG
RNAcentral lists this ribosomal RNA (253 nucleotides) under uncultured bacterium. RNAcentral describes it as "partial 16S ribosomal RNA". It matches the Rfam family "Bacterial small subunit ribosomal RNA", at positions 524 to 776 of the family's 1533-position model. The record is from RNAcentral.